RNAcentral lists this transfer RNA (63 nucleotides) under Potamometra montandoni. RNAcentral describes it as "tRNA-Arg". The record is from RNAcentral. Lineage: Eukaryota; Metazoa; Arthropoda; Insecta; Hemiptera; Gerridae.
AAGUAAAGAAGUAAAAGUUACAUUUAGUUUCGACCUAAAAAUAGAGUUAUUACUCCAUACUUA